This 330-nucleotide ribosomal RNA is filed under the name uncultured bacterium. RNAcentral describes it as "bacterial SSU rRNA". It matches the Rfam family "Bacterial small subunit ribosomal RNA", at positions 568 to 898 of the family's 1533-position model. The record is from RNAcentral.
CGCGUAGGCGGUUAGAUACGUCUGAUGUGAAAGUCCUGGGCUUAACCUAGGGACUGCAUUGGAUACGGUCUAGCUUGAGUGCGAGAGGGGAAAAUGGAAUUGCGCGUGUAGAGGUGAAAUUCGUAGAGAUGCGCAAGAACACCGGUGGCGAAGGCGAUUUUCUGGCUCGCAACUGACGCUGAGGCGCGAAAGCGUGGGGAGCAAACAGGAUUAGAUACCCUGGUAGUCCACGCCCUAAACGAUGCAUGCUAGAUGUCGGUCUGUAACAGGAUCGGUGUCGCAGUAAACACAUUAAGCAUGCCGCCUGGGGAGUACGGUCGCAAGAUUAAA